This 880-nucleotide long non-coding RNA is filed under the name Ananas comosus (pineapple). RNAcentral's name for it is "long non-coding RNA (ACOM_LNC034797)". The record is from RNAcentral. Lineage: Eukaryota; Viridiplantae; Streptophyta; Magnoliopsida; Poales; Bromeliaceae.
UAAAUUAAACUUGAUAAAGAGUAAUAUAUAUAUAGUAUGUCAUUCAGAAUUGUUAAAAUCGGAACGGCGAAAAAUAGAUCCAGAAAAUAAUUUAAUGCAAGAAAAGAAAAGAUAAGCGGAAAGAACACACCGAUAUUUACGUGGUUCGGCCAACGGCCUACGUCCACGGGCGAAGACGGAGCAAAUACUUUAUUAAUGUCGAAAAGGCGGAGUACAAAGAAGAUCUCUCUCUCAAAUUAAGAUCCCAAAUAAAGUAUUUGAUUGACGCACAUAUGCAUUUAGCAUNAAAAAAUUUUAGAGAUUAGGGAUGAAAAUUCUAAGUCCUCUGUGAAGAACAGGUAAAAGAGCUCAAUGGGGUCGUAUACCAGGUAUUUAUAGGCUGCUGGAUGGAUAAGAUAAACCCCAGGAAAAAAACUGCAAUCCAGUGCCCCUGCAGAAACGGGCGUUUCUGGGCGCCCGGAACCAUGUUCUUGGCGACCAGAACAUCCCGACUGCACAAACCGGGCUCCUCGGACUCUCCGCUCGCGGUGCGCUGCGCCCGUAAACGGCUCCGGCGGAACUCACCUACCACCCUGCCACGCGUCGAAGCAAGCGAUAUUCACGAUGUCAAAUUUCCGGACCCACUUCUGGGCGCCCGAAACUUGGGAUCCGAAUUGGCUUCCAGUUUCAGUUAAAUUCAACACUCGUUUCUGGGCGACCCUGACAAUGUUCUGGGCGCCCGAAUCUGGCAAAACUCCAGUUUUGCUUAUUUGAGUGCGCCGAGUCCAAUUCUGCAUCCAAUUCGUGCAGAAUUGACUCCGACUCAGUCCGACACUCUCCAGAGAUGUCGACCAGUCUAUAAUACUGAAGCCAAUCCUAUCCAAAGCUCAGGAACACUACA